This 486-nucleotide ribosomal RNA is filed under the name uncultured bacterium. Its description in RNAcentral is "partial 16S ribosomal RNA". It matches the Rfam family "Bacterial small subunit ribosomal RNA", at positions 30 to 507 of the family's 1533-position model. The record is from RNAcentral.
AUUGAACGCUGGCGGCAUGCCUUACACAUGCAAGUCGAACGGCAGCACGGGUGCUUGCACCUGGUGGCGAGUGGCGAACGGGUGAGUAAUACAUCGGAACAUGUCCUGUAGUGGGGGAUAGCCCGGCGAAAGCCGGAUUAAUACCGCAUACGAUCUACGGAUGAAAGCGGGGGACCUUCGGGCCUCGCGCUAUAGGGUUGGCCGAUGGGUGAUUAGCUAGUUGGUGGGGUAAAGGCCUACCAAGGCGACGAUCAGUAGCUGGUCUGAGAGGACGACCAGCCACACUGGGACUGAGACACGGCCCAGACUCCUACGGGAGGCAGCAGUGGGGAAUUUUGGACAAUGGGCGAAAGCCUGAUCCAGCAAUGCCGCGUGUGUGAAGAAGGCCUUCGGGUUUUAAAGCACUUUUGUCCGGAAAGAAAUCCUUGGCCCUAAUACGGUCGGGGGAUGACGGUACCGGAAGAAUAAGCACCGGCUAACUACGUG